AUAACGACUCUCGGCAACGGAUAUCUCGGCUCUCGCAUCGAUGAAGAACGUAGUGAAAUGCGAUACUUGGUGUGAAUUGCAGAAUCCCGUGAACCAUCGAGUCUUUGAACGCAAGUUGCGCCCCAAGCCUUUAGGCCGAGGGCACGUCUGCCUGGGUGUCACG
This 163-nucleotide ribosomal RNA is filed under the name Eriocoelum microspermum. Its description in RNAcentral is "5.8S ribosomal RNA". It matches the Rfam family "5.8S ribosomal RNA". From Rfam's summary of the family: 5.8S ribosomal RNA (5.8S rRNA) is a component of the large subunit of the eukaryotic ribosome. It is transcribed by RNA polymerase I as part of the 45S precursor that also contains 18S and 28S rRNA. Functionally, it is thought that 5.8S rRNA may be involved in ribosome translocation. Lineage: Eukaryota; Viridiplantae; Streptophyta; Magnoliopsida; Sapindales; Sapindaceae. The record is from RNAcentral.